AGAGUUUGAUCCUGGCUCAGAACGAACGCUGGCGGCAGGCCUAACACAUGCAAGUCGAGCGCACCUUCGGGUGAGCGGCGGACGGGUUAGUAACGCGUGGGAAUGUACCCUUCUCUACGGAAUAGCCAUUGGAAACGAUGAGUAAUACCGUAUACGCCCUUUUGGGGAAAGAUUUAUCGGAGAAGGAUCAGCCCGCGUUAGAUUAGAUAGUUGGUGGGGUAAUGGCCUACCAAGUCUACGAUCUAUAGCUGGUUUUAGAGGAUGAUCAGCAACACUGGGACUGAGACACGGCCCAGACUCCUACGGGAGGCAGCAGUGGGGAAUCUUAGACAAUGGGCGCAAGCCUGAUCUAGCCAUGCGGCGUGAGUGAUGAAGGCCUUAGGGUCGUAAAGCUCUUUCGCCAGGGAUGAUAAUGACAGUACCUGGUAAAGAAACCCCGGCUAAUUCGGUGCCAGCAGCCGCGGUAAUACGGAGGGGGUUAGCGUUGUUCGAAAUUACUUGGGGUAAAGCGCACGUAGGCGGAUUAGAAAGUAUGGGGUGAAUUCCCAGGGCUCAACCCUGGAACUGCUUCAUAAACUCUUAGUCUAGAGUUCGAGAGAGGUGAGUGGAAUUCCAAGUGUAGAGGUGAAAUUCGUAGAUAUUUGGAGGAACACCAGUGGCGAAGGCGGCUCACUGGCUCGAUACUGACGCUGAGGUGCGAAAGUGUGGGGAGCAAACAGGAUUAGAUACCCUGGUAGUCCACACCGUAAACGAUGAAUGCCAGUCGUCGGGUAGCAUGCUAUUCGGUGACACACCUAACGGAUUAAGCAUUCCGCCUCGGGAGUACGGUCGCAAGAUUAAAACUCAAAGGAAUUGACGGGGGCCC
Molecule: ribosomal RNA, 865 nt
Filed under: uncultured Alphaproteobacteria bacterium
Lineage: Bacteria; Pseudomonadati; Pseudomonadota; Alphaproteobacteria
Description: bacterial SSU rRNA
Rfam family: Bacterial small subunit ribosomal RNA
Source: RNAcentral